Non-coding RNA from Paramuricea clavata, 100 nucleotides. NCBI's taxonomy places the organism in Eukaryota, Metazoa, Cnidaria, Anthozoa, Malacalcyonacea, Plexauridae. The record is from the annotation of a GenBank genome assembly.
GAUUCAAUGGGAAUUCCAAUUGGAUUCAGUGGGAAUUCCAAUUGGAUUCAGUGGGAAUUCCAAUUGGAUUCAAUGGGAAUUCCAAUAGGAAAUUGGGCCA